This 525-nucleotide ribosomal RNA is filed under the name uncultured bacterium. RNAcentral describes it as "bacterial SSU rRNA". It matches the Rfam family "Bacterial small subunit ribosomal RNA", at positions 355 to 896 of the family's 1533-position model. The record is from RNAcentral.
UGGGGAAUAUUGGACAAUGGAGGAGACUCUGAUCCAGCAAUUCUGUGUGCACGAAGACGGUUUUCGGAUUGUAAAGUGCUUUCAGCAGGGAAGAAGUAAGUGACGGUACCUGCAGAAGAAGCGACGGCUAAAUACGUGCCAGCAGCCGCGGUAAUACGUAUGUCGCGAGCGUUAUCCGGAAUUAUUGGGCAUAAAGGGCAUCUAGGCGGAUAUACAAGUCAGGGGUGAAAACUUAGGGCUCAACUCAAAGCUUGCCUUUGAAACUGUAUAUCUAGAGUGCUGGAGAGGUGGACGGAACUACACGAGUAGAGGUGAAAUUCGUAGAUAUGUGUAGGAAUGCCGAUGAUGAAGAUAGUCCACUGGACAGCAACUGACGCUGAAGUGCGAAAGCUAGGGGAGCAAACAGGAUUAGAUACCCUGGUAGUCCUAGCUGUAAACGAUGAUUACUGGGUGUGGGCAUGAAGAGUGUCUGUGCCGAAGCUAAUGCGAUAAGUAAUCCGCCUGGGGAGUACGACCGCAAGGUUG